CAAAAAUCUCUACCUCUGGAUGAGAUGUAACUCCUUAUGGUCUGUUAACUCUCACUUCCACCCAAUGUGGGGCUUUUUAUUUUAUACUCACUUAAAUUUUUCAGCUUUACUUUCCAUUUUACUCUUGUUACCCUUUCUCUCACCCUAAAUCAGUAGAUUGCAGUAUUUCCUUUAAAUAGAUGGAUCCUCAUGCAUACUAAUAUCUGUAUUGAAUGUGCCCAAGCAAUCUGGUUGGGCUCGGCGUAGAUGAGUCUAUAGCCAAAGUUUGCUCUAAGAGUGGUGCAAUGAAUGAAUCCCCUUAUGAACUCUUAUGUUGAUAGAAUGCAAGCUUCAACAAGAGUAAUCCAAGCUAUGUUGUUGAUAUAUUCAAGAUACUUGGAAAGCAGGUUCAAAUUGUUCCAGAUAAUAGCACUGAUGUGAUGUUAUACAGAAUCCUUCUCAAGACUUGGUGCUUAUGCAUAGGAUUUUAGAAUUUUCAAGGGUCAUUGUUCAGUGACCAUGAUACCUUGGCUGCACCUAGAUAAGGAGAUUGAGACUACCCUUGAAAAAGUUAAACUUGAUUUGUAGGUCACCCUUGAAAGGGAAGACCAUUCAAAAAUUAGCGUAUGCCACUUGAAGUAGAGUGCACACGGUAUUCUUUAGUAAAAGGCGAAAGAAUAGUUCGCUCUGUGCACACUACAUGGCUCCGUGCUUUCAUAAACACAACAUCAUAGCUUUUAUAUAUAUUCUCAUGCUAGCAACUGUUAGCAACUCUUCGGUGUGGGACUUAGUUACAAGUAGGCAAAUCAUGCUACACUUACAAACACUGCUUUUGUCAUCUACAGAUAUGUCUUGAAUUCUUGGUAAUUAUCAUUUCCCGUUACUGAUACUUAAUUUGAACAAAGGUUCUGUGCAUUAGCUGAAAAAGAUUUUGUAACCAUACUAUUCUUUCUUUUGUUCUUACCCAAUGGUGAUGCAGUUAGAACUUACAAGUGGUUGGCAGAAUAUUGGUUAGUCAAUUUAGGCCCAGGGAUCAAACUAUCUAGUUGGGAUUCUAUCAGCAAUCAUGUUUGCUUUUGCAUUGCAUUGUACUGGGAAAGUAAAGAAGGUGCAUAGCCUUGUGACUAUUAUCAUCUUCACAAAUAUUGCAAUCUGAUACUUUCCUAUUUUCUAAAAUACAUAAUUGUAUACUAGCUCUGGCUGGGGAUGGUAUUUCCAGUUUUCCACUCAUUCAAGUAUUUUCUCUACUGAUCAUAACUAUGCAUACUUAUUUUCCUAUUUGGAGUAAGAGGUGAACUCUUGCCUUUAACUCUAAAAGAAGGCAAAAGGCCUUAGUUAUUAGAACUUAAAGAAGGCUUGGCGCAAAUUUAUAGGGACUAAAGGAUAACCUGAUUCCACAUAAGAUAAUAGACAGAUUAUGCAGCUUGAAUUUUUCUAUAUCAACAUAUCAUUUUAGACGAGUACAAGAACCUGACUGUCCUUGUCACAAUAAUAAGGAAAUCUCUCCAAAUUGCAUGAGUAGAAUAGGAUUUUUUUUUUAUCUUGGUGCUUCCUCAAAAAAUUGUUCUAGCUUCUUUGAAAUUGUUUUCAGUUUCAGCUUAUCCUUUUCUGGUGGAUGUCAAUAAUUGUUUUGAAUUAUUGUUGUUCCCACUUUAUGAUAUGUAAUCAUCCCAGAAAAAUGGAGCUGAUACCAAGGGAUAAUAUUGCUGAACUGUUGUUACGAAUCAAGGCUGAUGCCAAGGGAUAAGUCAUGGUUGAAGACCCAAUUGCCCUUACAAAAACAUAAGAUACAUCAAUUUCAGUUGAGCAAUGGAUAUAAUAAGGAGGAUAAGGUCAUCCAGAUUCCAGAUGAUACCAACAGGAAGAUGGAAUCAGGUUUUAUAAGGACUAAACAGUUUUAAGAAUUGCUUGGUGUCUGAGAGCAUGUUUUGCUUUGCGUGCUUGCUUGAUGUUUUAGUAUCCUUACCACUUAAGAGUGUAUUAGAAGAAAAAAGAAGAUACUACAUUGAUAAUAGGCAGCAAUCAGCAGCAUCCUUGUUACCAAGUUGAAGUGAGAAGGUUGAAGUAUUUAGUCCCACACUGAAGAAGCAUGAGAAGGGAGAGUGUAGAGUGUGGUAUAAGAGAGAAGGUAGGUUCAACGUUACAACAUACUUACCUGGACGGGGUCAAUGGUUGAUCAAGAAGGACCAUGGCCUAGGGUGGUGACUUCCAUUGCACUUAGGAAGGGUGCCACUCUAAGGUCUACCCAAGUGGUGGAGCCUACGUCAUAAUUUGUGGUAGUGGGGGCCUGCGUUCGCGCGGCCCCCUCCAAUUUUAUUUAAAACUUUCGAUUUCCCCCUCAGCCUUCUGUGUUGGUCCAACGCUUUUCUGUGAGUGAACCUGAAAAACUUGAGAGCCAGGCCAAAAUCAAGAAAAAAUUAGACAAGUUACAAUUGCGAUUAAUGACAUAUUGGCACUAGAGUUGGUCCCAUACUGGAGAAGUAUUAGGGGCACGUUGAGUUGAUAGAUGAAAGUUGAGAUCGAAGCAUUUAUUUAGUCCCACACUGGAGAAACAUUAGCAUUUAUGCAUUGUUGUCAUGUUAUGCAGAAUUUCCUUGGCAACCAGUCAGUUAGAUGUGGUUUGCAGAAUAAUGAUGUUUUCUUCCCAACAACAUAAAAAGGAAUCGAUGGCUCUUCUAGGCCAUGAGGAAGAUAUAAAUUUCUGGUUGAAGCAGAGUAUUACAGUUAGAUCCAAGGAUGAGGCUAGAAUCAUGUUUCAAGACCCAAUUGUCAUUGCUUUUACAUAUCAAUGUCUGGUUUCCUUCUAAUUUUAACUCUGCUCCCUCAACCAAAAGAUGUGAUUCAAAAAGAAAUUGUAGUUCUGGUUACUAUAUCAUGAACACUUUUACUUGGCUUCCUUUGGAUGCGUGUCCUUUUCCAUCCCCACAGACAUCAAAAGAAGUUUUGUGGCUAUGAGAUCUUUAAGCAAGUAGGUUUUCACUCCAGCAGUUCUUCCAUCUUUUGUGUUGUCUGUGUGUGGCUAUGAGAUCUUUAAGCAAGUUGAUUGUUGUUUUUCCUUUAAGUAGAUGGUUCCUCAAGCAUAUGCUAAUAUCUGUCCUUAAUGUGCCAAGACAAUCUGAUUGAGCUCGGUAUUGAUGAGUCUGUCUCUAACCCAAGUGUGCUCUGAGAGUGGUUCAAUGGAUCCCCUUAUGAACUAUGGCAUCAUGUGAUACAGAAUCUCAAUCUCCUUGGCAAACAUUCAGGAACUUUUCAAGACUUGGUGCUUAUACAUGGAAUUUUCAAGAAUCAUUGUUCUUUGCACAUGUUACCUUGGCUGCAACAAGAUAAUGAGGUUGUGACUACCCUUGAAAAAGUUAAAGUUAAACUUGAUUUGUAGGUCACCCUUGAAAGGGAAGACCAUUCAAAAAUUAGCGUAUGCCACUAAUUGUAGAGUGCACACGGUAUUCUUUAGUAAAAGGCGAAAGAAUAGUUCGCUCUGUGCACACUACAUGGCUCCGUGCUUUUAUCAACAUAGCAUCAUAGCUUUUAUAUAUAUUCUCAAGCUAGGAACUGUUAGCAACUCUUCGGUGUGGGACUUAAUUACAAGUAAGCAUACCAUGUUCAAGUCACAACUUGUCAUUCUUUUGUCUUCUAUGAUAAUGCCCUGAUCUUUGGUAGUUUUCAUUCUGAGUUAAGGAUUCUUAAAUAAUUUGAAGAAAGGUAAGCUGUCUAGGCAUUAGGUGAGAAAAAUCCUGUAACAUACAAUGGUUGAAGACUCAAUUGUCAUUGCAAAAACAUGAGACAUAGUAGUUACAGGUUGAAGAGUGCAAGGGGUAAGUUAGAUUAAAUGUUGAACAUGUUUACAUUUGCAGCUUGUAGGAUGACAAAUUUACAUUUGUAGCUUGUAGGCAUA
Molecule: long non-coding RNA, 3871 nt
Organism: Lotus japonicus
Lineage: Eukaryota; Viridiplantae; Streptophyta; Magnoliopsida; Fabales; Fabaceae
Exons: 3
Source: RefSeq, a predicted model, not a curated record